UCUUGGAUAGCUCAGUUGGUUAGAGCAUGGUGCUGAUAACACCAAGGCUGCAGGCUCAAUCCUCAUAAU
This 69-nucleotide transfer RNA is filed under the name Podarcis lilfordi (Lilford's wall lizard). RNAcentral's name for it is "tRNA.Ile". The record is from RNAcentral. Lineage: Eukaryota; Metazoa; Chordata; Lepidosauria; Squamata; Lacertidae.